AUUGAACGCUGGCGGCAUGCCUUACACAUGCAAGUCGAACGGCAGCGCGGGGCAACCUGGCGGCGAGUGGCGAACGGGUGAAUAACAUAUCGGAACAUACCCUAGAGUGGGGGAUAACGUAGCGAAAGUUACGCUAAUACCGCAUACGCACUAAGGUGGAAAGUGGGGGAUUCGAAGAACCUCAUGCUCAUGGAGUGGCCGAUAUCUGAUUAGCUAGUUGGUGAGGUAAAGGCUCACCAAGGCGACGAUCAGUAGCUGGUUUGAGAGAACGACCAGCCACACUGGAACUGAGACACGGUCCAGACUCCUACGGGAGGCAGCAGUGGGAAUUUUGGACAAUGGGGGGCAACCCUGAUCCAGCAAUGCCGCGUGAGUGAAGAAGGCC
This 385-nucleotide ribosomal RNA is filed under the name uncultured bacterium. RNAcentral describes it as "bacterial SSU rRNA". It matches the Rfam family "Bacterial small subunit ribosomal RNA", at positions 30 to 416 of the family's 1533-position model. The record is from RNAcentral.